Molecule: ribosomal RNA, 460 nt
Filed under: uncultured bacterium
Lineage: Bacteria
Description: partial 16S ribosomal RNA
Rfam family: Bacterial small subunit ribosomal RNA
Source: RNAcentral
CCUACGGGAGGCAGCAGUGAGGAAUAUUGGUCAAUGGACGAGAGUCUGAACCAGCCAAGUCGCGUGAAGGAAGAAGGAUCUAUGGUUUGUAAACUUCUUUUAUAGGGGAAUAAAGGUAUCCACGUGUGGAUAUUUGCAUGUACCCUAUGAAUAAGCAUCGGCUAACUCCGUGCCAGCAGCCGCGGUAAUACGGAGGAUGCGAGCGUUAUCCGGAUUUAUUGGGUUUAAAGGGUGCGUAGGUUGUUUUUUAAGUCAGCGGUGAAAGUUUGUGGCUCAACCAUAAAAUUGCCGUUGAAACUGGAAGACUUUAGUGUGUUUGAGGUAGGCGGAAUGCGUGGUGUAGCGGUGAAAUGCAUAGAUAUCACGCAGAACUCCGAUUGCGAAGGCAGCUUACUAAGCCAUAACUGACACUGAAGCACGAAAGCGUGGGGAUCAAACAGGAUUAGAUACCCUGGUAGUC